CUGGUAAAAAGGUGAAAACCUUUUUACCCCCAAAACUCUGUGCAAUGGAGCACACGGCUUAUGCAUCGAUGAAGCCCGCGGCAAAAAGCGAUAUGUAAUGAGAUUCGUUAGCCUCGCGAUUCAUCAAAUUGGUGAACACAUACUGGACCUCUUCGGAGGUACUUGCGUUAGAGUGCUAGUUUUAUAUCAAUUGAUCCUGGUAAAAGGUGUUUGAAUCGUUAGGUUCUUACGCCCUAGCCGGUGUAGCCGGAUUCUCUCUGAGAAACCGGAUUGUUCCUGAAAGACUGUUUAUCAGUCUAUUAGGUCAAUCGAUUGUUCCUAAAAUAUUGAUAAGCAGUAUUUUAGGUCUCCUGAUAGACUGAUAAGCUGUCUAUUAGGCUACUGAAAGACUGUUUACCAGUCUAGUAGGGCAAUCACUUUUUUUUAAACUGGCCUCUAAUGUGAGAGGGUACCCCUGGUUUAGCAUAU
Molecule: small RNA, 468 nt
Filed under: Naegleria sp. RNG085
Lineage: Eukaryota; Heterolobosea; Eutetramitea; Acrasida; Naegleriidae
Description: eukaryotic LSU rRNA
Rfam family: 5.8S ribosomal RNA (bases 34-178)
Source: RNAcentral